CUUACUCUUCUCUUUCUUCCAAUCUUAAAGCAGUCCUUGCCCUAUCAGUCAGUACUCAGUUCUCCAUGGUUUCGGAAGAAUGUAUCUUGCUACUUAGCUACCAUAGACUUAAGCAGAGCCACUCUGUACAGUUGUUUUUGGAUCUCUGGAAAGUUCUUACACAGUGUGAGGAGAAUUAGUUUAACCUGAGCUCAACAAAACUUACAGGUUUACUAAUUGUUCUUCAGGACUCAGAUGUUAGUCUUUGGUCAGGCCAAACCAAAAGUUGUUUAGACGCUAGUUAUCACAUUCUUUCUUUUUCUUCCUUUUGGUGCCUGUUGAAAGAAAGCCCGUCUUUCCAGAAAAUGACCCCUUACCCCUCAGUCCUCCCUUUACAUGGCACAUUAGUUUUACUCUUGAAAGAUGAACUUUAAGCAGAAAUUCCCGGCUGUGACUUUUCUUUGGCUUCCCGUGUUUGACAGGAGGUACAUAGACUGAAAAUGCCAGCUCCCGGACAUGAAGGUGCUCCGCAGGAUUCCCUGUGGGAUCCUCUUUUCUGCUGAAAGACUGCAUGUUCUCUGAUCCAGAGGAUCAAAAAGGAAAAACAAUUUGGCCUCAGAUGAUAUUUACCCCAAGUGGCUGGCCGAGAACAAAGAAGAGGCAGUGGUUAUAAAGCUGGAAGAAACCCCCAAGAUCAUAGAAUACAGUAUAUCCUUUGUAACAGAUGAGGAUCCUGGGCCAGAGAAGUGAAGCAGGGCACAGUGAUUCUCAAGGAAAGAAGGUGGCAC
This 767-nucleotide long non-coding RNA is filed under the name Heterocephalus glaber (naked mole-rat). Its description in RNAcentral is "lncRNA (ENSHGLG00100030828.2)". The record is from RNAcentral. Lineage: Eukaryota; Metazoa; Chordata; Mammalia; Rodentia; Bathyergidae.